Molecule: long non-coding RNA, 1706 nt
Organism: Nymphalis io (European peacock)
Lineage: Eukaryota; Metazoa; Arthropoda; Insecta; Lepidoptera; Nymphalidae
Exons: 3
Source: RefSeq, a predicted model, not a curated record
CAUUCGUGUGUCGAUAAAAGUAACAUGUGAGUUACGGCCAAUCAUACGCGUCGCGCAGUCAUUUGUUAAAUCUGUAGGCACUUGAUUUAUUUACUUGGAUUUCUUCGAAGUAUAUAGACUACUCUGGGGUAUUUUGAGUGUACAUUGUGAUAGAUAUUUUCACUUUAAGGAGAAAUUUAACUAUUCACUUUACCCUGGUUUAUGUAAAUAUUCAUAAUGUUUUCCUUCAUUGCCCGGCAUGAGCUGGGGCUCGAUUAUUAUUUCAUUAGAAACUCGAACGGCAUUACAUUGUACGUCGCCGGGGGACGUCGCGCCGGAAAUGAAUCGUAUCGCGACAUGGAUUUCGAUUAUCUACCCGCAGACUUUCGCUUUGGGACAUUGGCGUCAACUGAUCGGCGCAGUGGACAUUGGAAGACGUCGCUUUGAUUACAUUAAGCUUCACGAGGUCAAUCCUAACAGAUGUACUUAAGUCUUGGCUAUAAGGAUGAUUGUUGUGACCUGAGUGCUUAAAUGAGUCUUAUCGAUAUCAAACUCCUAAAACAAAUAAAUUUAGGCAGCUUGAAGAAAAAUAAUAUUAGUUUUAUUAAAUAAUCUUUACUAGCUCAUUGUUCUAGUUAUUUCAAAUAUACAUAUUUGUCGUUUUAAAGAAUACGAUGAAGCAUUUUACUCGUAACAAAAUAUUUCAUUUCAGUUUUACAUUUUCUUUCAAAUUACAAUAUAACCUUUAUCUUUUUUAUAUAUUUGCUGGGAAGGCAAAUGACUACUCCAAAUGAUUAUAAGUGGUAGUAGAGUCCAAAUGCGACGACGACCAGUACAGUCGGGAGGAAUGAUAUGCACUAGCCGCCUUCGCCUUGCCGGCCCGCAAGAUGCCUCUUCACAACUUGUCUUGAGGAAACUUGCAUCAGUUGGACGAAAUUUUUCACAAGCGUAUUCUAUUGGAGCAACGUGGUGCCUCAGCCCAGAAGUAAGACAUUUAUAAGAUGAGUUAUUAUAAUAUUUUACGCAAAAAUAGACGCUGAAAUGUAAGGAAAAUAUUACAAAUGAAACAAAGAUGAGACUGAAAAUACAUAAGCAAACAUAAAACAAUAUCAUUAUGUAUAGUGAUGUAAGCGAGUUUGAAGUCUUCCAUCAUCUUGAACACGUCUUAUCUACGAAUAAACUGAAUUGAUUACAAUUCGAUCCCCAACAAAUGUUCUAUUGAAUAUUUGCUCUGGCCCAACCAUUUGUUCUUGUCGGAGAGACCGAUCAAUCAUAAAAUAAUAAAAGUAAAGGAGGUAUCGUUAUUGCAAUCGCUCGAAAUUGAGUAAAUAAUUAAUUGAACACAAAUCGAAAAUUGUUUUUAUUUCGUCGUUUCGAAUGCUAUCGGCAUCGGUAGCGGCUCGAGGCGGUACCACUGAUAAAAAUUAUAAGAGAUUUGAAGUUAUUACGAAGAGUAUUUAUUUAGAAUUUAAAUUAUAUAUUUAAACAUAGAAUUUUUUUAAUGAAUUAUAUUAAAUAAUGCAGAGUUUUGGGACCAAGGGAUAAAUUUUGGACGUAAAGAAAUUUGUUUUAAUUUACUCACUUCGAAAUUGUCAAAUACUAAAAAAAAAAUUUAGAGAAAGAAUACAUUGUAUUAAGACCAAUAGUUUCAAACACCAAUGUACCAGAUGUGUCCGAUUGUUUUCGACGAAUUGGCGAAAUUUUCUAAUGAUAAUUGCUUUGGGUCU